AUCCUAGUGCACGGGUUUUACACGUAUCAGUGAGGAGACAUCCGAGAUCGUGUUUUUGCUAGUUGAAAACUACCUAUAUGACCGCUUCAGUUGGUCCAAGGAUCGGCUGGGAAUUUUUGAAGAAAAAAAAU
RNAcentral lists this small nuclear RNA (131 nucleotides) under Penicilliopsis zonata CBS 506.65. RNAcentral's name for it is "U4 spliceosomal RNA". It matches the Rfam family "U4 spliceosomal RNA". Rfam says of the family: U4 small nuclear RNA (U4 snRNA) is a component of the major U2-dependent spliceosome. The structure of U4 snRNA from yeast and human has been reported. U4 snRNA presents a k-turn RNA motif in the 5p-SL related to recognition of Snu13 protein. Lineage: Eukaryota; Fungi; Ascomycota; Eurotiomycetes; Eurotiales; Aspergillaceae. The record is from Rfam by way of RNAcentral.